This 3539-nucleotide small RNA is filed under the name Malus domestica (apple). RNAcentral describes it as "sRNA MD06G0108900". The record is from RNAcentral. Lineage: Eukaryota; Viridiplantae; Streptophyta; Magnoliopsida; Rosales; Rosaceae.
AUGUCUUAAGUCUUGCAUGACCAAACUUUCCACUUCCCAUUUUGGGGAGAGAGAGAGAGAGAGAGAGAACCAUAUGGGGUAUUCAGGAUUUCAGGGAGAGGGGUAGGGGUCAUGCGCAGAGGCUCAGUGUUGUGGGGUGAAAAGUUAUUUGAAAAUAAUGGAAAGAACAUUUUCUGCAUCGUGAUUCUUUAAUUGUAUGAUAAUGUUUUCAAUGUUUUAGAUUACAUUGAUCUGUAUUAUUUUAAAGUAUAUAUGAAGAUUAGUUUAUAGGUUUAUGCACUUAAAUUGGAUAUAUGGUAUUUUUCAGAUUAUUUGACAUACAAUUGCAUAUAAUCUCAAUUUUUCUCAUGCAAUUUUUGUCUGACCUUCGGAAUCGUUGAAUAGGAUAAUUCAUACUUGGAUAGCUACAUCAGCACAAUUGGAGUUGAAUUUAUUAAAUGUCCUAUUUACAGCAAAGCCGUCAGGUUUGGGCUGAUAUUGGGGCUGGGUUGGAAGGGCAAUUUUGUCCUGUGCGUUUGAGACAGAUUGGGGUGGGUUUAGGUUUGCUGUCAUUCAGUGAGUGCUUUCGGGAAUGGGAGGCCAUGCCUCCGAUAGGGAGAGAGACAGAGCGAGAGAGAGGGAGCGGGAGGAGUGGGGAUCUCAGCACCAUUUCUGCAGAUCCUCGAUUUCAUUUGGCUUCGUUUUCCCUUUCUGAAACCCUAACAGCCACAACACCAUCUUUGGAAUAGCAUCGGCUUCCUGCUUCCUAAAAUCAAAACCACUCAAAGUGGCCUUCAUUUAUGUAACUCGAGAGCUUCGGUGAGAUGGAGGAGAGGAGCAUGGAGAUGGGCUCGAGUCCGCAAACGACGGAAGAGAUCUUGAGGUUCAUGGAUUGUUAAGGAGAGUGUGGGAAAGAAAGGGUGCCUCACUGGUUAGGCACUGGAAAUCAAUUAUUUCCAUCGGAAGAACUACUUGGAGUACAUUUGGGAGCAAGCUGAAAUUGAUAUCAUUGAGCACAAGACAAGAAAAAGCCUCCAUUUCCAUCUCCUAAAAGCAGCAGAAGAAAAUUAAACAAGCAUUUUCAUACAGCUGGAGGCUGUGGUCACUGCCUGACAUCAAAGACUACUUAGAAGUGGCAGCCUUUAAGUCCGUUCAUUUUUUAAUGCGCAAGAUGCAAGACAACAGAAAAAUCCGAAGAACAGAGGAGUUUACUAUCGGCCGGGACAUAAAAUAUGAAGAGAUGAAACGUUUUCAUCAACAUGAUUCUUGGAAAUAAGAAGCGUGCUUAUGUUUUUGUCACAGAUCCUGAAGAAAACUAUAGAUCUGCAUGCAUUUGUAUCUUCAGAGAAUUCUAACUGUUGUUCUGAAUUAGUAGCUGAGAAAAUAGAAUGGGCAAGUAUACAAAUGGAUUUGAUAUUUGAUUCUUGGAGCUCACAUAUAUCUCCACAAUUGUUAAUUUUUAUCAUGCGUUGGUGGUGGGUACCUGAUACGGUACCUCUGGCUCUCUUCUUCACUGCAACAAGUUGCCAAAAAACCUUUACAGAAAUGGAUGCAUCCAUUCUUUUCCCUGGUACAGUUUGCUGCAGCCAACGUCGAAUUCUAUCUAAUUAGGGAAAAGGUCCAACAAAUUUCCACUAGAUCCAUCAAGCGCAUGAUUAAGCUUUUGAAAUUUCUGUGAAAUUGAAGGUCAGUAGAUCUCUCUUAAAUUGAUGAGGGGGCUACAAUUCGUACAAGGAAACUAGCCAGAGAUAUGCUACUAUUUUGGAAGAGAGUAGAUAAAGAGAUGGACUUAUCGAAUGAAGGCAGCAGCAAGGGAAUUUGAGCCUUGGCCUGUAGAGAUACGAUUUUGUAAGGAAGCUAGGCAGUUGCUUCUUUAGGGACUUAUGACAUAGCAUUAGAGAUGGGAAAGAAGUGAUGGGCGCAAGAGCUGAUGAAGAGACAAUUGAAAGAUUAAUUGAGACGGGAGAUGGUGAACAAAUUUUCCAGAAGGCAAUCCAAGAACAAGGGGGAGGCUAGAUAAUGGACACUUUGGCCGAAAUUCAAGAGCGACAUGAUGCUGUUAGAGAUCUUGAGAGGAAGCUUCUCAAUUUACAACAGGUUUAGUUUGAUUCCAACUCCUUUUUGAAUAAAAAAAUUGGUUGUUUUUUUAUUUCUAUAGGGGAGUUGCAGGUGUCCGUGUCAGAUUCAUAAGGAAAAAGAACCAUUUUUGUGGAUAUAUUGAAACAUAAAGAAGGCACUCAAAUUACUUCUGCUCCAACCCAUUUCAACAAUUUAUCAAGCUUUAGUUGAAGCUCCUGGGAAGCAUAUCCAUUAUAUUGCCAACCUUGAAAAGCCUUGGUAAAUAAUGUACACAGUGGUGUUGAAAGUUUUCCUCAUUAUGCUCCUAUGCCCAGUUGGUCAGGUGUAUAUGACAUGCAGUGAGCUCGGGGACACGGAUAGGUUAAUUCAUCCAUGAUGUUGAGCCCUGUCUUGAAUGGUAUCUUGGGCGCCGCGUUUUAGAUGCUUAGGAACCAAAGAGAAAAAAGAAUGAGCUCAAGGGUGCAAUAUCGUUGAAGAUCAGCCCUAAACAAGUUAUGUAAAUCCUAUCAACUCUCUACGUAUAGAAGGUUCUGCAAAUAUAACUAAGCUACCAACUAAUCCUUAGUAGUCAAAGUGCUCCAAUGUUUGGAGUACAUCGGUAAAAUAGGAACGACUAUAUUUUGGGCAUCUCUUAAUAUGUAUAUAUCAGUGUACAUAGCUAAGCUAUAAACUACUACUAUAUACUUUAUAUAAAUAAUUUGUGCAUGUUCUAUAUAAAUAGUUUUUACAUAUCUAUGCAACAUGCCAUAAUACAUUUAGGCCCUUAGCUUAACCUUAUUGUAUCUAUGCAACAUGCUAUAAUACGUUUAGGCCCUUAUCUUAACCCUUUUAUACAAUACUUAUAAUUUGUUUGACAUUUAGGCCCUUAUCCUAAUUCCUAAUUCCCAAGGUUAAACCCAACCGUGCUUUAUUUAGUUGCUUAAAGCUUUAGUUUGUUGAUUGUUAUGUUUUAUCAGCUGUUAUAAAGCCGCUCUCCAUGUUUUUGCCUUUGAACAUGUGUGCUUGAAAACUUGCUGAAACGACAACGGAACAAUUUUUAUGUUUUUUGUUAACUGUUUAAACAGGUGCCUGGCCUGUAGGACAAGUAUUUAACCACCUUUACUACAGGGGCAAAAUAUGUGUGGACUACAUCUUCCUUCUGUUUCUUCUGUAACUUAUGGAAACAGGCAUCCUGCAUCUUUUUAGCUUUGAACAUUAGUGCUUGAAAGAUUAGCUACUGAAACAAGAACAACACACUUUUUUUUGCUUUUUUGUUUAGCUGUUAAAACACGUGCCUGGCCUGUAUGACAUAUAUUUGCCAUCUUAACUUGAAGGGCAAUAUAAGUGUUAAAUGCAUGUUACUUCUGUUUCUCAAGGAAACGGAGCAUUUUUUUGCAACUAUACCUUUUAUAAUCAGCUCGGUUGAAUUUAAAUGUCUUAAUUCAUGUGGUUAAGGUUGGUGCAUUCAAGUCCCGCAGCAACGCGCGGGCAUUUUUACUAGU